Long non-coding RNA from Astatotilapia calliptera (eastern happy), 1543 nucleotides. NCBI's taxonomy places the organism in Eukaryota, Metazoa, Chordata, Actinopteri, Cichliformes, Cichlidae. The record is from Ensembl.
CAGACGCACCCAUACAUGCAAUGAAGAAACAGCUUACAUACAUGUGCACGUACAUGCAAGGUUAAAGUAGCGACACUUAACAUACACCUGUUUUUAAAUGAUAUAGUUCAUACAUUACUGACAAUUAAACGCUUUGGGUUGCAGGACAACAACGUAACGUCAAAAGACAAAGACACUGGUCUGAGGAUUAAGUGAGGACACGACAAAUUUAGUGGUUAAAAGGGUCGACUUGGGACAUGUUUUUGUUGAUUGUUUAAGACAAAUGACUACUGAAUGAUAGGAAAUUCUUUUUUAGGUUUCUAAACAGGAUCUAAAGAAUUUUAACACGUACCUGUGUUGUCCUGUCAACUUGAGGGGUUAUGAGUUGAUUAUAUGGAGAAAAAAAAAAAAAAAAAAACAAAAACAAAAAAGGGGGGAGACGAGAUCUCGUUGUUUCUCCCCUCUCGGGAUAACACAGCCAACACAGCACAGCCAACACAACAUCAUUUUCCUGUUCGCCUGUUUUGUUUUGUUUUUGUUUUUUCUGAGAGCCGAAGCUGACCUGGACUCCUACCCUCCCCUCUAUCAUCGUUGCCCUCUCCGCGACCAUCUUUGACCCUUUGACCCCUGAAGGCCACAGCAGCUGGACUCACAACAACAACUUGAGGAUGUCAACAGUGCUGCAAAAGAGUGAUCUCAUGCAGCAGAGACGGAGAGCACUAAACCUAAAGCCCGUUUCACUACACGGGGGAAAUUCCCAGGCUGCGUCAGCUGACAGAGCUGUGACGAGACGCGCAUUAAGCCCGGAGGAAAAGGGACGGUGAGCAGAAGGAUGCUGACCUCUGAGAAGAGCCGAACAGCAGAGCUGCAGAAGGCCGUGGAGCAAAGUAAGGAAGAUGCAGGCAGCUGCAACAACGGAUGAAAACAGACCCAAAGAGGAGGGGAGGACCCUAGGCCAUGCGUCAGGCCGCUGGUUUACCUAAACUACAGAACAGGAAGAUCUGCACAUCGGAAAUUACAAGCAUUACACGUCGGCGAGAAAAUUGUUGACAGCUGUUACUGCUUUCGUCGGGAACCGAGACUGCUUGCAGCCGACCCCUGGGCAGGGUGGUGCCUGGACUCUUUUCUCCUCAUCUGCAAUGACAGAUAAAGACAAAUGAUAAGACCCGAGGAGUUUUUCGAGCCAGGCUUCGACACGUCUCUGUGUUCCUUUGAAUGUUACUUAUUUUUGUGUGUUGACCCAUUUAAGAUGGGUCAAAAGGGGGAUUUGAAGAAAAUAUAAUCUGAUCAAACAUUAUUCAGCUUUAAAUAUUGUUCAGCUUUAAAGUUACUGUGCAACUGUGUAAUAAAAAUGUGCUCACGACUUUGGCCUUGAGAGCGAUAAGAAGCGAUCGCCUCAUUCUGCAGGUGCAAGAUAUCUGCAAGCGAAGAGACUAGAACACCCAAGGCCGCUUUCCUUUUAUGGAGUUGUUUUUCUGCUAAUGCAGCACUGUCCUCACAACCCCCUCCUGUAAGUUUUAGAGAAUAUAUACCCAUCCUCACAGCAAAUAUUAGGAAUCUCCUG